CCUACGGGAGGCAGCAGUGGGGGAUAUUGCACAAUGGGGGAAACCCUGAUGCAGCGACGCCGCGUGGGUGAAGAAGCGCCUCGGCGCGUAAAGCCCUGUCAGCAGGGAAGAAAAUGACGGUACCUGAAAAAGAAGCCCCGGCUAACUACGUGCCAGCAGCCGCGGUAUGACGUAGGGGGCAAGCGUUAUCCGGAUUUUCUGGGUGUAACGGGGGCGCAGACGGCGCUGCAAAACAGGCGUGAAAGCCCUGUGCCCAACCCCGGGACUGCUCUUGGAACUGAGUGGCUAGAGUGCAGGAGGGGCAAGCGGAAUUCCUGGUGUAGCGGUGAAAUGCGUAGAUAUCAGGAGGAACACCAGUGGCGAAGGCGGCCUUCUGGACUGCAACUGACGUUGAGGCCCGAAAGCGUGGGGAGCAAACAGGAUUAGAUACCCCGGUAGUC
RNAcentral lists this ribosomal RNA (440 nucleotides) under uncultured bacterium. Its description in RNAcentral is "partial 16S ribosomal RNA". It matches the Rfam family "Bacterial small subunit ribosomal RNA", at positions 338 to 795 of the family's 1533-position model. The record is from RNAcentral.